AUUGAACGCUGGCGGCAUGCUUUACACAUGCAAGUCGAACAGUAACAGGGAGCUUGCUCCGCUGACGAGUGGCGAACGGGUGAGUAAUGCAUCGGAACGUGCCGUGUAAUGGGGGAUAACGUAGCGAAAGUUACGCUAAUACCGCAUACGCCCUGAGGGGGAAAGUGGGGGACCGCAAGGCCUCACGUUAUACGAGCGGCCGAUGUCGGAUUAGCUAGUUGGUGGGGUAAAGGCCUACCAAGGCGACGAUCCGUAGCGGGUCUGAGAGGAUGAUCCGCCACACUGGGACUGAGACACGGCCCAGACUCCUACGGGAGGCAGCAGUGGGGAAUAUUGGACAAUGGGCGCAAGCCUGAUCCAGCAAUGCCGCGUGUGUGAAGAAGGCCUGCGGGUUGUAAAGCACUUUCAGUUGGGAAGAUGAUGACGUUACCAACAGAAGAAGCACCGGCUAACUCCGUGCCAGCAGCCGCGGUAAU
Molecule: ribosomal RNA, 476 nt
Filed under: uncultured bacterium
Lineage: Bacteria
Description: bacterial SSU rRNA
Rfam family: Bacterial small subunit ribosomal RNA
Source: RNAcentral